RNAcentral lists this ribosomal RNA (467 nucleotides) under uncultured bacterium. Its description in RNAcentral is "partial 16S ribosomal RNA". It matches the Rfam family "Bacterial small subunit ribosomal RNA", at positions 28 to 507 of the family's 1533-position model. The record is from RNAcentral.
GACGAACGCUGGCGGCGUGCUUAACACAUGCAAGUCGAACGGAAAGGCCCUGCUUUUGUGGGGUGCUCGAGUGGCGAACGGGUGAGUAACACGUGAGUAACCUGCCCUUGACUUUGGGAUAACUUCAGGAAACUGGGGCUAAUACCGGAUAGGAGCUCCUGCUGCAUGGUGGGGGUGGGAAGUUUGGGCGGUUGGGGAUGGAAUUGCGGCUUUUCAGCUUGUUGGUGGGGUAGUGGCUUACCAAGGCUUUGACGGGUAGCCGGCCUGAGAGGGUGACCGGCAACAUUGGGACUGAGAUACGGCCCAGACUCCUACGGGAGGCAGCAGUGGGGAAUAUUGCACAAUGGGCGGAAGCCUGAUGCAGCAACGCCGCGUGCGGGAUGACGGCCUUCGGGUUGUAAACCGCUUUCGCCUGUGACGAAGCGUGAGUGACGGUAAUGGGUAAAGAAGCACCGGCUAACUACGUG